RNAcentral lists this long non-coding RNA (766 nucleotides) under Homo sapiens (human). Its description in RNAcentral is "HSALNT0292124". Lineage: Eukaryota; Metazoa; Chordata; Mammalia; Primates; Hominidae. The record is from RNAcentral.
ACACAGGGUCUCACUCUGUUGCAGGUGCUGGAGUGCAAGUGGCAUGAUUUUGGCUAACUGCAACCUUGACCUCCCAGGCUCAAGGAAUUCUCCCACUUCACCCUCCGGAGUAACUGGGACUACAGGCACAGACUGAGGAAUUGCGCUUGGCCUAAUAAGAAUGAUUCCCCUGGGGGAAAGAAACAGAAGAGCAUUUGACAACUACAUGGGCUGGCAUAAUGGAUUGGAAUUUAAAGGUGCUACAAAUGUGCCACCAGUUUAUCACAUGGGACAUUUUCUCACCGAGUGAAGCAGGAAGCUGGUGGGCCUAGGCCAGGAAGGCAGAGUGAAAUUUCAUGACGCUUAGAAGACAAAGAGCCUUGCUAAAAUUAAGUGAAUGGUCCUGCAACAAAUACACAACAGGUCUCCCUUCUUAAGAAAUCCACCAGAUUGUGAAACUGCAUGGGGAGAGAAGCACGAAAGGAUUAAGUUUAAAACUCCAAAGCACAGAAAAAUGCUGAGGAGACAGGGACUCACGAGGCUUUCAAUCAGAAGCCUGAAAUGGUCACACUUGAGCAUGUUGCUGGCUGGAAAGGCAGAGUAAAAUGUCUUGUGAUUUCAUGGUGUUCAAAUCUCUGAAGGACAGAUGACUCUCCAUUGGUAUUUCAGGCUUUCCCUACAGUAGGCAAGUACUUUGGACCUACCAGUCUUUCAACAAAAAGCUCAGAAGGGUCACCUCUAAGGAACAGGUAUAAAUCAGAGGUGAACUAAGUUUCAUUAAAACUAU